GCGCCCAUAGCUCAACUGGACAGAGUACCUGACUACGGAUCAGGGGGUUGGGGGUUCGACUCCUCCUGGGCGCGCCA
This 77-nucleotide transfer RNA is filed under the name candidate division Zixibacteria bacterium SM23_81. RNAcentral describes it as "tRNA-Arg". It matches the Rfam family "tRNA". Rfam says of the family: Transfer RNA (tRNA) molecules are approximately 80 nucleotides in length. Their secondary structure includes four short double-helical elements and three loops (D, anti-codon, and T loops). Further hydrogen bonds mediate the characteristic L-shaped molecular structure. tRNAs have two regions of fundamental functional importance: the anti-codon, which is responsible for specific mRNA codon recognition, and the 3' end, to which the tRNAs corresponding amino acid is attached (by aminoacyl-tRNA synthetases). tRNAs cope with the degeneracy of the genetic code in two manners: having more than one tRNA (with a specific anti-codon) for a particular amino acid; and 'wobble' base-pairing, i.e. permitting non-standard base-pairing at the 3rd anti-codon position. The record is from RNAcentral. Lineage: Bacteria; Pseudomonadati; Candidatus Zixiibacteriota. RNAcentral also lists the same sequence under 1 other name.